Non-coding RNA from Acanthosepion pharaonis, 110 nucleotides. The record is from the annotation of a GenBank genome assembly. NCBI's taxonomy places the organism in Eukaryota, Metazoa, Mollusca, Cephalopoda, Sepiida, Sepiidae.
UUACGGCCGUAUCAGGUUGAAACUCCGGUUUCCGUACGAUGACAGAAGUUAAGCAACGUCGAUCCUGGUCAGUACCUAGAUGGGUAACCGCUAGGGGAUACCAGGUUGUG